UUCCGGUUGAUCCCGCCGGACCCCACUGCUAUCGAGGUGGGACUAAGCAAUGCUAGUCGAACGACCCGAACUAUGUCGGGAAGUGGCACACGGCUCAGUAACACGUAGCUAACCUAACCUAAGGACGGAGAAAACCUCGGGAAACUGGGGUUAAUAACCGAUAGGUAUGAUGUCCUGGAAUGGUAUCAUGCCCAAAGGUGUUCACAGCAUGUUGUUAACAUGCCUUAGGAUGGGGCUGCGGCUGAUCAGGCUGUUGGCGAGGUAAUGGCUCACCAAACCUUUGACCAGUACGGGCCAUGAGAGUGGUAGCCCGGAGAUGGACACUGAGACAAGGGUCCAGGUUCUACGGAACGCAGCAUGCGCGAAACCUCCUCAAUGCACUCAAGUGCGAAGGGGUUACCUCGAGUGCCACCUGAUGAAGGUGGCUUUUGUAUAGUAUAACACGCUAUUCGAAUAAGAGGGGGGCAAGACUGGUGUCAGCCGCCGCGGUAACACCAGCCCCUCGAGUGGUGGGGAUGAUUAUUUGGCCUAAAGCGUCCGUAGCCGGCCAUGUAAGUCUCCCGUUAAAUCCAGCGUCUCAAGCGUUGGACUGCGGGAGAUACUGCAAGGCUAGAGGGUGGGAGAGGUAUGCGGUAUUCUGGGGGUAGGGGCGAAAUCCUUUGAUCCCCGGAGGACCACCAGUGGCGAAGGCUGCAUACUAGAACACGCCUGACGGU
RNAcentral lists this ribosomal RNA (716 nucleotides) under uncultured archaeon. Its description in RNAcentral is "bacterial SSU rRNA". It matches the Rfam family "Archaeal small subunit ribosomal RNA", at positions 1 to 698 of the family's 1478-position model. The record is from RNAcentral.